This 264-nucleotide ribosomal RNA is filed under the name uncultured archaeon. Its description in RNAcentral is "partial 16S ribosomal RNA". It matches the Rfam family "Archaeal small subunit ribosomal RNA", at positions 748 to 1009 of the family's 1478-position model. The record is from RNAcentral.
UAGGCGUAAAUAGAUGCGAGUUAAGUGUGGGGGCGAUCUACGAGAUGGCCCUGUGCUGUAGGGUAGCCGUUAAACUCGCUGCCUGGGGAGUACGGUCGCAAGGCUGAAACUUAAAGGAAUUGGCGGGGGGAGCACCACAACGGGUGGAGCUUGCGGUUUAAUUGGAUUCAACGCCGGAAAUCUUACCGGGACCGACAGCAACAUGAAGGCCAGGCUGAAGACUUUGCCGGAUUAGCUGAGAGGAGGUGCAUGGCGUAGUCGUGU